Molecule: ribosomal RNA, 407 nt
Filed under: uncultured bacterium
Lineage: Bacteria
Description: bacterial SSU rRNA
Rfam family: Bacterial small subunit ribosomal RNA
Source: RNAcentral
UUAGGAAUUUUGCGCAAUGGGGGCAACCCUGACGCAGCGACGCCGCGUGGAGGAUGAAGGUCUAAGGAUCGUAAACUCCUUUUAUGAGGGAAGAAUAAAUGACGGUACCUCAUGAAUAAGUGACUGCUAACUACGUGCCAGAAGCAUCGGUGAUGCGUAGGUCACGAACGUUAUCCGGAUUUAUUGGGCGUAAAGAGAAGCGUAGGCGUUUUAGUAAGUCUUUUGUUAAAAACCUUGGCUUAACCAAGGGGUUGCAUUGGAAACUGCUAAAAUUGAGAUAGGAAGGGGCUAAUGGAAUUCUCGGUGGAGUGGUGAAAUACGUUGAUAUCGAGAGGAACACCAGCGGCGAAGGCGAUUAGCUGGUCCUUAUCUGACGCUGAGGCUCGAAAGCGUGGGGAGCAAAACGG